Molecule: transfer RNA, 57 nt
Filed under: Camelus ferus (Wild Bactrian camel)
Lineage: Eukaryota; Metazoa; Chordata; Mammalia; Artiodactyla; Camelidae
Rfam family: tRNA
About the family: Transfer RNA (tRNA) molecules are approximately 80 nucleotides in length.
Source: Rfam by way of RNAcentral
UAGCUCAGCGGCAGAGCAGGUGCCUAGCAUGCACGAGGUCCUGGGUUCAAUCCCCAG